UGCGCAGGCGGAAGAAUAAGUCAGUGGUGAAAUACUGCCGCUCAACGGUAGGGCUGCCAUUGAUACUGUUUUUCUUGAGUAUGGUUGAGGUAGGCGGAAUGUGCGGUGUAGCGGUGAAAUGCAUAGAUAUCGCCCAGAACGUCGAUUGCGAAGGCAGCUUACUAAACCAUUACUGACGCUGAGGCACGAAAGCGUGGGUAGCGAACAGGAUUAGAUACCCUGGUAGUC
Molecule: ribosomal RNA, 228 nt
Filed under: uncultured bacterium
Lineage: Bacteria
Description: partial 16S ribosomal RNA
Rfam family: Bacterial small subunit ribosomal RNA
Source: RNAcentral